AUACGUAGGGGGCGAGCGUUGUCCGGAAUGAUUGGGUUUAAAGGGAGCGCAGGCGGAGAUGCAAGCGUGACGUCAAAUUUCGGGGCUCAACCCCGUCUCGCGUCGCGAACUGCGUCCCUUGGUUGCGGGAAGGGGAGGCGGAACUCGUGGUGUAGCGGUGAAAUGCAUAGAUAUCACGAAGAACUCCGAUCGCGAAGGCAGCCUUCCGGCCCUGCAACGACGCUCAUGCUCGAAGGUGCGGGUAUCAAACAGGAUUAGAUACCCUGGUAGUCCGCACAGUAAACGAUGGACACCCGCGGUUUGGCCUGUAUGGCUGAGCCGCCAAGCGAAAGCGUUAAGUGUCCCACCUGGGGAGUACGCCGGCAACGGUGAAACUCAAAUGAAUUGACGGGU
RNAcentral lists this ribosomal RNA (393 nucleotides) under uncultured bacterium. RNAcentral describes it as "partial 16S ribosomal RNA". It matches the Rfam family "Bacterial small subunit ribosomal RNA", at positions 523 to 918 of the family's 1533-position model. The record is from RNAcentral.